This 433-nucleotide ribosomal RNA is filed under the name uncultured bacterium. RNAcentral's name for it is "partial 16S ribosomal RNA". It matches the Rfam family "Bacterial small subunit ribosomal RNA", at positions 29 to 507 of the family's 1533-position model. The record is from RNAcentral.
AACGAACGCAGGCGGCAUGCCUAACACAUGCAAGUCGAACGAGACCUUCGGGUCUAGUGGCGCACGGGUGCGUAACGCGUGGGAACCUGCCCUUAGGUUCGGAAUAACUCCCCGAAAGGGGUGCUAAUACCGGAUAAUGUCUUCGGACCAAAGAUUUAUCGCCUUUGGAUGGGCCCGCGUUGGAUUAGCUAGUUGGUAGGGUAAAAGCCUACCAAGGCGACGAUCCAUAGCUGGUCUGAGAGGAUGAUCAGCCACACUGGGACUGAGACACGGCCCAGACUCCUACGGGAGGCAGCAGUGGGGAAUAUUGGACAAUGGGCGAAAGCCUGAUCCAGCAAUGCCGCGUGAGUGAUGAAGGCCUUAGGGUUGUAAAGCUCUUUUACCCGGGAUGAUAAUGACAGUACCGGGAGAAUAAGCUCCGGCUAACUCCGUG